RNAcentral lists this long non-coding RNA (1759 nucleotides) under Ananas comosus (pineapple). RNAcentral describes it as "long non-coding RNA (ACOM_LNC039524)". The record is from RNAcentral. Lineage: Eukaryota; Viridiplantae; Streptophyta; Magnoliopsida; Poales; Bromeliaceae.
UGUAAUACCUUGAACUUUACAAAUUGGUGAAGUUGGAAAGUGGGGUUGAGAAGUGGCAUGUGCCCACAGGUUCUACUCUUUGUAAAGGUGUUUUUGGGUCAAUUUUGAGAACUAUUAGACUUUUGGAUGCAAGAAAGUGCGUCGUCGAAGCGAUUCCUGAACUUACUGCGUUAUAGUAUACUGAACUUCAGCAAUUUGCGUAGUUCGAGUGUGAGGAAUGAUAUUUGGAACCCUCCCACAUGUUCUAAAGGGUUUAAAGAUGGUUACACAUAAGUUUGAGAGUGAUCGGAAUGUCGGAAGCAAGAAGAUGCAUUGAACGGGCGAAAUUCAGCAUUUUUCUGCUUGCUGUACCGGUACAGCCAUUACCUUGUACCGGUACAAGCUGGCAGAAUCGUGGCAGCAAGGCUAGUUUGGUCUUUUCACAUUUGAUACCUAUCUAUUUGAUCCCAGCACGACUCUGGGACUUUAGUGGAGUGUGCUAGAGUGCAGAGGAGCUUCCUCCACCUUCUUUCUCUCUCUCUCUCUAGGGUUUUUCUCUCUCUACAUAGAAUUCGACGAUUUCGCUCGUUUUCGUCGCAACGUUGGUUCUUCGCUGUUCGCAAGUGUCGCAGGGCCUACGUGGACGUGUGAGGGAGUAUUUUGGAGAACUUUUCGCAGCUCUGGACCAGUAGCUCACUGGUUGCAAGCUUGAGAAGGUAAUCGGCUCACUUUUUUAAUUUUCGGCAACCUAUUAGUCGAUUUAUGUGUGGAUUUCGGGAUUGUUGCAUCUAGUUGCUUUAAUCUGAGUUUUCAGCAAGUAAAAUGACUUAAGUAGCUGUGAAUUUACCCUGGGAUAAGCUGAUUUGCCACUUGAAUAAGUAAUGAGUAACUAUAAUGCGAAUUCGGGACUAUACGACGUCUAAUUGCAUAAUUGAUGCAAGUUGGAAUUGGUAUCUUCGCAGCAGGUUUCCUGAGUCCAUUGAGCUUAAUUGGUGGCCUUGGGGACUGGUCUAGAAGUGUUCUAACUUGAGGUAAGCAGGAAUUUCAGUUAGAAAACUGAAUUCGCAAGAUUCCGACUAUAUUUGCUAAUAUAUGAUAAUUUUGAUGCCGUUUCGAUGUUGUUCGCAGCGAGAGUGCGAACGAGCCUUGGAUCGUCGUUAGCUGACUUGUGAGAGCUUUUGGAGACUUAUCUUGAGGUAUUGAACUUGCCCCAAAGCAGGGAUUCAAGCUAUUACCUUGUACUAAGGGUAAUUUAGGCCGAAAUCGGAUAUUUCGGUCGUCAUUUUGACGUGGUUUUGUUACUUUGUUUUCAGCAGGAUUGGGACCUUGUUGAGCUGAUUCCUGGGACAUCUUGUGACUGAUUUGAGCUUAAUACGAGGUGGGUCGGACCUAACCAGAGCAAGUGAAGCUCCUCUAUGUUCUAUAUGUCACUAUAGAGAAUUGAUAUACAUGUGUGUAUUGUCACUAGGUAGUUGCUAAAGAAUUGGGAACAUCCUUGCGAUAAGGCUUAACAUAAUGGAAAUAGAACCUCUAUGAAGUAGAGAGCACUCAUGCAUAAGUGUCUUUAUGCUCAUGUUUAUGUUUAUAAUUAGUUAAGUUAACUAAUGGAUAUACUAAUGAUGCUUUUGUAAAGUAGAGAACACUGACAUGCCAUGUGACUAUGUUGAUAGUGCCAUGAUAGUGGAAAGACUCUAAUGCCAUAUAUGAACUAGCAUUACUCUUACAUAGUUGUUAUCUAGUGGAUACUAGUCGUUGUUAAUAUUGAUUAUAUUGAAAUCCC